Molecule: ribosomal RNA, 976 nt
Filed under: Atrecus punctiventris
Lineage: Eukaryota; Metazoa; Arthropoda; Insecta; Coleoptera; Staphylinidae
Description: eukaryotic LSU rRNA
Rfam family: Eukaryotic large subunit ribosomal RNA
Source: RNAcentral
GGGAAGAGCCCAGCACCGAAUCCCGCGGCCGUUCCCGGACGCCGGGAAAUGUGGUGUUUGGGAGGAUCCGCCAUCCCGAGGUCGUGCGGCGCGUCCAAGUCCUUCUUGAACGGGGCCACUUACCCACAGAGGGUGCCAGGCCCGUAGCGGCCGCCGCCGACAGCGGGAGGAUCUCUCCUCAGAGUCGGGUUGCUUGAGAGUGCAGCCCUAAGUGGGUGGUAAACUCCAUCUAAGGCUAAAUAUGACCACGAGACCGAUAGCGAACAAGUACCGUGAGGGAAAGUUGAAAAGAACUUUGAAGAGAGAGUUCAAUAGUACGUGAAACCGUUCAGGGGUAAACCUGAGAAACCCGAAAGAUCGAUUGGGGAGAUUCAGCGUGUCUCGUUGCGCGCGAGUGGUUGUGGAGUGACGGACGGCGUUCGCGCCGCCUGCGCCUGCUGCCGCCGCAGCGCGACGAACGCGUGCAAUUCUCCCCUAGUAGGACGUCGCGACCCGUUGGGUGCCGGUCUAAGGCCCGCUGUGGAGCCCGUGCGAGACGCCUCGGCGUUUCGUCGGACCAGCGGUGUCCCGGCCGGCUCGCUCGACGGUACGACAGUGGCGCGGGGCCGCGACUUGUGCGCGUCCGGCCCGUCGCAAGCUCGGACGGUCAUCCGGCGGUCGGACCUAGUGCCGACUCUGGACCCGCCCGGCUGCUGGCGACGGUGUCCUCGGACAGACCCCGAAAACUCCCCCUCGGGGGUGUUAUACGCCGGUCGGCGACGCUUUAGCUUUGGGUACUUUCAGGACCCGUCUUGAAACACGGACCAAGGAGUCUAGCAUGUGCGCGAGUCAUUGGGACCAGCGAAACCUAAAGGCGAAAUGAAAGUGAAGGCGUGCCUUCGGGCGCGCCGAGGGAGGAUGCGCCGCGCCCAGGCGCGGUGCCGCACUCCCGGGGCGUCUCGAGCUCACUGCGAGCUGAGGCGCACCCAGAGCCCCG